Long non-coding RNA from Carassius auratus (goldfish), 463 nucleotides. RefSeq lists it as uncharacterized. The transcript has 4 exons. Lineage: Eukaryota; Metazoa; Chordata; Actinopteri; Cypriniformes; Cyprinidae. The record is from RefSeq and is a predicted model, not a curated record.
AUAUUACCCAGAGAGGAGUGGCUUGGCUUCACCUGAGACUGCUCUGAGGAGCGUGCAGCGUGCAGCGCAGUACACUGUCAGAUCUCUGAAGCUGAGACAUCAAUAGCUGCAUAACGGGAUCAUAUGGACACACAGGGUGACUGAUGCUUUUUUCUGAAACAGUCAGGGCUGCUGGGUUGUAAUCAUUUCCAUGGAUCUGCAGUGAACUAUAGCUCUCUGUUACUGGAGGAUGGACCGGGGUUGUUGUAUGUUGGGGCCAGAGAAGCCAUUUACAAACUGGACACCACUAACAUCUCUGACACCGAUAUCUCUCUGUCUCUGGAAUGGGCAGCGUCGGCUGAACAGAAGAGGCAGUGCCUGAGCAAAGGAAAGAACAAUCAGACUGAAUGCUACAAUCAUGUGCGGUUCCUGGACAGAUACAACGACACUCACCUGUACACCUGCGGGACACAUGCAUUCAGAC